GGACGAACGCUGGCGGCGUGCCUAACACAUGCAAGUCAACGGGGGUAGAGAGGGAGCUUGCUUCUUUUCUACUUAGUGGCGGACGGGUGAGUAACGCGUGAGUAACCUGCCUUCAGGAGGGGGACAACAUUCCGAAAGGGAUGCUAAUACCGCAUGAUAUACAGAGGAGGCAUCUUUUCUGUAUCAAAGAUUUAUCGCCUGAAGAUGGACUCGCGUCUGAUUAGAUAGUUGGUGAGGUAAUGGCUCACCAAGUCGACGAUCAGUAGCCGACCUGAGAGGGUGAUCGGCCACAUUGGAACUGAGACACGGUCCAAACUCCUACGGGAGGCAGCAGUGGGGAAUAUUGCACAAUGGGCGAAAGCCUGAUGCAGCAACGCCGCGUGAAGGAAGAAGGUCUUCGGAUCGUAAACUUCUGUCCUUAGGGAAGAUAAUGACGGUACCUUUGGAGGAAGCCCCGGCUAACUACGUG
This 469-nucleotide ribosomal RNA is filed under the name uncultured bacterium. Its description in RNAcentral is "bacterial SSU rRNA". It matches the Rfam family "Bacterial small subunit ribosomal RNA", at positions 27 to 507 of the family's 1533-position model. The record is from RNAcentral.